GGUUAAGUUAGAAAGGGCGCACGGUGAAUGCCUUGGCACUAGGAGCCGAUGAAGGACGGGACUAACACCGAUAUGCUUCGGGGAGCUGUAAGUGAGCUUUGAUCCGGAGAUUUCCGAAUGGGGAAACCCACUGUUCGUAAUGGAACAGUAUCUUUAUCUGAAUACAUAGGAUAUUGAAGGCAGACCCGGGGAACUGAAACAUCUAAGUACCCGGAGGAAGAGAAAGCAAAUGCGAUUUCCUGAGUAGCGGCGAGCGAAACGGAAUUAGCCCAAACCAAGAGGCUUGCCUCUUGGGGUUGUAGGACACUCUAUACGGAGUUACAAAGGAACGAAGUAAAUGAAGCGACCUGGAAAGGUCCGUCGAAGAAGGUAACAACCCUGUAGUUGAAACUUCGUUCCCUCUUGAGUGGAUCCUGAGUACGGCGGAACACGUGAAAUUCCGUCGGAAGCUGGGAGGACCAUCUCCCAAGGCUAAAUACUACCUAGUGACCGAUAGUGAACCAGUACCGUGAGGGAAAGGUGAAAAGCACCCCGGAAGGGGAGUGAAAGAGAUCCUGAAACCGUGUGCCUACAAGUAGUCAGAGCCCGUUAACGGGUGAUGGCGUGCCUUUUGUAGAAUGAACCGGCGAGUUACGAUCCCAUGCAAGGUUAAGCUGAUAAGGCGGAGCCGUAGCGAAAGCGAGUCUGAAUAGGGCGUUUAGUAUGUGGUUGUAGACCCGAAACCAGGUGAUCUACCCAUGUCCAGGGUGAAGUUCAGGUAACACUGAAUGGAGGCCCGAACCCACGCACGUUGAAAAGUGCGGGGAUGAGGUGUGGGUAGCGGAGAAAUUCCAAUCGAACCUGGAGAUAGCUGGUUCUCUCCGAAAUAGCUUUAGGGCUAGCCUCAUGUUGUGAGAGUCUUGGAGGUAGAGCACUGAUUGGACUAGGGGCCCCCAACGGGUUACCGAAUUCAGUCAAACUCCGAAUGCCAAAGACUUAUCCAUGGGAGUCAGACUGCGAGUGAUAAGAUCCGUAGUCAAAAGGGAAACAGCCCAGACCACCAGCUAAGGUCCCCAAGUAUACGUUAAGUGGAAAAGGAUGUGGAGUUGCUUAGACAACCAGGAUGUUGGCUUAGAAGCAGCCACCAUUUAAAGAGUGCGUAAUAGCUCACUGGUCGAGUGACUCUGCGCCGAAAAUGUACCGGGGCUAAACGUAUCACCGAAGCUGUGGAUUGACAUCUUUGAUGUCAGUGGUAGGAGAGCGUUCUAAGUGCUGUGAAGUCAGACCGUAAGGACUGGUGGAGCGCUUAGAAGUGAGAAUGCCGGUAUGAGUAGCGAAAGACAAGUGAGAAUCUUGUCCACCGAAUGCCUAAGGUUUCCUGAGGAAGGCUCGUCCGCUCAGGGUUAGUCGGGACCUAAGCCGAGGCUGAAAAGCGUAGGCGAUGGCCAACAGGUUGAUAUUCCUGUACCACCUCCCCGCCGUUUGAGUAAUGGGGGGACGCAGUAGGAUAGGGUAAGCGCGCUGCUGGAUAUGCGCGUUCAAGCAGUUAGGCUGAUGAGUAGGCAAAUCCGCUCAUCAUAAAGGCUGAGCUGUGAUGACGAGGGAAUUAUAGUACCGAAGUUCCUGAUUCCACACUGCCAAGAAAAGCCUCUAGCGAGGCGGGAGGUGCCCGUACCGCAAACCGACACAGGUAGGCGAGGAGAGAAUCCUAAGGUGAUCGAGAGAACUCUCGUUAAGGAACUCGGCAAAAUGACCCCGUAACUUCGGGAGAAGGGGUGCUCUGGUAGGGUGUAUAGCCCGAGAGAGCCGCAGUGAAUAGGCCCAGGCGACUGUUUAGCAAAAACACAGGUCUCUGCGAAGCCGCAAGGCGAAGUAUAGGGGCUGACGCCUGCCCGGUGCUGGAAGGUUAAGAGGAGGGGUUAUCCUUUGGGAGAAGCUCUGAAUCGAAGCCCCAGUAAACGGCGGCCGUAACUAUAACGGUCCUAAGGUAGCGAAAUUCCUUGUCGGGUAAGUUCCGACCCGCACGAAAGGCGUAACGAUCUGGGCACUGUCUCAACGAGAGACUCGGUGAAAUUAUAGUACCUGUGAAGAUGCAGGUUACCCGCGACAGGACGGAAAGACCCCGUGGAGCUUUACUGUAGCCUGAUAUUGAAUUUUGGUACAGCUUGUACAGGAUAGGUAGGAGCCUGAGAAGCCGGAGCGCUAGCUUCGGUGGAGGCGUCGGUGGGAUACUACCCUGGCUGUAUUGAAAUUCUAACCCGCGGCCCUUAUCGGGCCGGGAGACAGUGUCAGGUGGGCAGUUUGACUGGGGCGGUCGCCUCCUAAAAUGUAACGGAGGCGCCCAAAGGUUCCCUCAGAAUGGUUGGAAAUCAUUCGUAGAGUGUAAAGGCACAAGGGAGCUUGACUGCGAGACCUACAAGUCGAGCAGGGACGAAAGUCGGGCUUAGUGAUCCGGUGGUUCCGCAUGGAAGGGCCAUCGCUCAACGGAUAAAAGCUACCCCGGGGAUAACAGGCUUAUCUCCCCCAAGAGUCCACAUCGACGGGGAGGUUUGGCACCUCGAUGUCGGCUCAUCGCAUCCUGGGGCUGUAGUCGGUCCCAAGGGUUGGGCUGUUCGCCCAUUAAAGCGGUACGCGAGCUGGGUUCAGAACGUCGUGAGACAGUUCGGUCCCUAUCCGUCGUGGGCGUAGGAAAUUUGAGAGGAGCUGUCCUUAGUACGAGAGGACCGGGAUGGACACACCGCUGGUGUACCAGUUGUCUUGCCAAAGGCAUCGCUGGGUAGCUAUGUGUGGACGGGAUAAGUGCUGAAAGCAUCUAAGCAUGAAGCCCCCCUCAAGAUGAGAUUUCCCAUAGCGCAAGCUAGUAAGAUCCCUGAAAGAUGAUCAGGUUGAUAGGUCAGAGGUGGAAGCGUGGCGACAUGUGUAGCUGACUGAUACUAAUCGAUCGAGGACUUAACCAA
Molecule: ribosomal RNA, 2936 nt
Filed under: Priestia megaterium
Lineage: Bacteria; Bacillati; Bacillota; Bacilli; Caryophanales; Bacillaceae
Description: 23S ribosomal RNA
Rfam family: Bacterial large subunit ribosomal RNA
Source: RNAcentral